AUUGAACGCUGGCGGCAUGCCUUACACAUGCAAGUCGAACGGCAGCACGGACUUCGGUCUGGUGGCGAGUGGCGAACGGGUGAGUAAUGUAUCGGAACGUACCUUUCAGUGGGGGAUAACGUAGCGAAAGUUACGCUAAUACCGCGUAUUCUGUGAGCAGGAAAGCAGGGGAUCGCAAGACCUUGCGCUGAUUGAGCGGCCGAUAUCAGAUUAGCUAGUUGGUGAGGUAAAGGCUCACCAAGGCGACGAUCUGUAGCGGGUCUGAGAGGAUGAUCCGCCACACUGGAACUGAGACACGGUCCAGACUCCUACGGGAGGCAGCAGUGGGAAUUUUGGACAAUGGGGGCAACCCUGAUCCAGCCAUGCCGCGUGAGUGAAGAAGG
This 383-nucleotide ribosomal RNA is filed under the name uncultured bacterium. Its description in RNAcentral is "bacterial SSU rRNA". It matches the Rfam family "Bacterial small subunit ribosomal RNA", at positions 30 to 414 of the family's 1533-position model. The record is from RNAcentral.